Molecule: ribosomal RNA, 253 nt
Filed under: uncultured bacterium
Lineage: Bacteria
Description: partial 16S ribosomal RNA
Rfam family: Bacterial small subunit ribosomal RNA
Source: RNAcentral
UACGUAGGGUGCAAGCGUUGUCCGGAAUUAUUGGGCGUAAAGAGCUCGUAGGCGGUCUGUCGCGUCGGAUGUGAAACCUCGGGGCUCAACCCCGAGCCUGCAUUCGAUACGGGCAGACUAGAGUUCGGUAGGGGAGACUGGAAUUCCUGGUGUAGCGGUGAAAUGCGCAGAUAUCAGGAGGAACACCGGUGGCGAAGGCGGGUCUCUGGGCCGAUACUGACGCUGAGGAGCGAAAGCGUGGGGAGCGAACAGG